CUGAAACAACCGCUGCAGGGCUGAUUUGUCUGAGGUGCAGCAGGGCCGCGGCGCUGGAAUCCGGCCCGGCCCAGUGCCGGCGUUGGCAGCAGCCUUCCCAUUAUAUCAGGAAGGGCCAUAUCGCAUCGCCGCCAUGCCCCGGCCCCCCCAGCUCGCCUCAGCUGUCUGCGGGACGUGGAGCCGGGCAGAGGGUGCCCUGGAAGAAGCAGAGCCGUUGGUCUGUGGUGCGGAAAGCUGACAAGUUUGGAUGCAACCGCUGCAGUGUGGCGGACAGGGAACUAAAGUGUCGGCAAAGACAAGUGAAUACAGGAUUCCUUUUCUGGAGAAAAAUAAAAUAAAAGAUGAGCAGGUUCCAUCAUUCUGUGGCACCGAGAUUGUGAAUGCAACAAGUAUUGAUGAACGAGGUGCUCGUGGAGCCAAACAGCAAAUCCACGUCAGUGAGAACAGAGCAACCUGAUGUAGAAACAAGAGUCGUCUCCUGAUCCACGAAUACACGCUUUUUUCAAGAGGAAAAGAAGCUGAGUUUUUAAUAUUGCGAGAAUGCUCAGCCCUUUUCAGCUGGGAGAUGUCAGAAGCAGCUGCAGACCUAAAUGAAAGGAGCUCAUCUCUGGAAAUUUGCUAUGCUAUAAUAAAUGCAGGCUUCUGCUGGUGAGCUGCUGAUGG
This 663-nucleotide long non-coding RNA is filed under the name Numida meleagris (helmeted guineafowl). RNAcentral's name for it is "lncRNA (ENSNMEG00000018987.1)". The record is from RNAcentral. Lineage: Eukaryota; Metazoa; Chordata; Aves; Galliformes; Numididae.